GAUGAACGCUGGCGGCGUGCCUAAUACAUGCAAGUCGAGCGAACAGACGAGGAGCUUGCUCCUCUGACGUUAGCGGCGGACGGGUGAGUAACACGUGGAUAACCUACCUAUAAGACUGGGAUAACUUCGGGAAACCGGAGCUAAUACCGGAUAAUAUAUUGAACCGCAUGGUUCAAUAGUGAAAGACGGUUUUGCUGUCACUUAUAGAUGGAUCCGCGCCGCAUUAGCUAGUUGGUAAGGUAACGGCUUACCAAGGCAACGAUGCGUAGCCGACCUGAGAGGGUGAUCGGCCACACUGGAACUGAGACACGGUCCAGACGCCUACGGGAGGCAGCAGUAGGGAAUCUUCCGCAAUGGGCGAAAGCCUGACGGAGCAGCGCCGCGUGAGUGAUGAAGGUCUUCGGAUCGUAGAACUCUGUUAUUAGGGAAGAACAAAUGUGUAAGUAACUAUGCACGUCUUGACGGUACCUAAUCAGAAAGCCACGGCUAACUACGUG
RNAcentral lists this ribosomal RNA (497 nucleotides) under uncultured bacterium. RNAcentral's name for it is "partial 16S ribosomal RNA". It matches the Rfam family "Bacterial small subunit ribosomal RNA", at positions 28 to 507 of the family's 1533-position model. The record is from RNAcentral.